Molecule: ribosomal RNA, 258 nt
Filed under: uncultured bacterium
Lineage: Bacteria
Description: partial 16S ribosomal RNA
Rfam family: Bacterial small subunit ribosomal RNA
Source: RNAcentral
UACGUAGGGUGCAAGCGUUGUCCGGAAUUAUUGGGCGUAAAGAGCUCGUAGGCGGCUUGUCGCGUCGGCUGUGAAAACCUGGGGCUCAACCCCGGGCCUGCAGCCGAUACGGGCAGCUAGAAUUCGGUAGGGGAGACUGGAAUUCCUGGUGUAGCGGUGAAAUGCGCAGAUAUCAGGAGGAACACCGGUGGCGAAGGCGGGUCUCUGGGGCCGAAAAUUUGACGCUGAGGAGCGAAAAGCGUGGGGGAGCAAAACAGG